AGCCAGCUGCUCCUGGCUCCCCCGGCACGCCUCGGCCUUCCGUGCCCCUGGAGAUCGGGGCGUUCCGCGGGCCGCGCACCGGAUUGCGAAGGUCAGAGAGGACGCAGCUGUGGGGCGCGAGGUCCCUGUGCAGUGGACCGAGUGCUGGACUCGGAGUCGGAGUGUGGGGGCGAGCUCUCUGGGGUCACCCACUUAGUAGAGUUCCCGGGCGUCUGCCGGGGGAUACAGGGUGCAAGCAAGACCAUCGCACCCACUCUGGGCCUGAGACUCGGACUCCAGCAGCAAUCCCCAACUCUAGAAAGAAGUCAAAGCAGCUUGCUUGCAGCAGCCGGGAGUGGGAGGUGGCUGCUCCUUCCGGCUUCGAGGAUCCUUUAAGGAAAAACGGCAGUUUCUCCAGGCAGAAAGGGGUAGAACGGUGCCCCUGGCAGAGGGAAGAACAAGAGUAAAUGCUCAGCGGUGUGGGCUCCGCCCCCUGGAGAGGGGAGUAGGUCUGUGAGUCUCAGAGAGGCGUAGGGGCCGCCAGAUGAUGAGGGGCACCGCUGGGACGCUCUGGAAACGUUUUACGAGGGUAGAUCGUGGUUAUGUGCCUUUUUUUGUUUGUUUGUUUUUUGAGACAUAUUCUUGCUCUGUCACCCAGGCUGGAGUGCAGUGGCGCGAACACGGCUCACUGCCGCCUGGAACUCCUGGGCUCAAGGGAUCCUCC
This 703-nucleotide long non-coding RNA is filed under the name Homo sapiens (human). Its description in RNAcentral is "non-protein coding lnc-PPP1CA-1:1". Lineage: Eukaryota; Metazoa; Chordata; Mammalia; Primates; Hominidae. The record is from RNAcentral.